AACGAACGCUGGCGGCAUGCCUAACACAUGCAAGUCGAACGAGACCUUCGGGUCUAGUGGCGCACGGGUGCGUAACGCGUGGGAAUCUGCCCUUGGGUUCGGAAUAACAGUGAGAAAUUACUGCUAAUACCGGAUGAUGUCUUCGGACCAAAGAUUUAUCGCCCAGGGAUGAGCCCGCGUAGGAUUAGCUAGUUGGUGGGGUAAUGGCCUACCAAGGCGACGAUCCUUAGCUGGUCUGAGAGGAUGAUCAGCCACACUGGGACUGAGACACGGCCCAGACUCCUACGGGAGGCAGCAGUGGGGAAUAUUGGACAAUGGGCGCAAGCCUGAGCCAGCAAUGCCGCGUGAGUGAUGAAGGCCUUAGGGUUGUAAAGCUCUUUUACCCGGGAUGAUAAUGACAGUACCGGGAGAAUAAGCUCCGGCUAACUCCGUG
Molecule: ribosomal RNA, 433 nt
Filed under: uncultured bacterium
Lineage: Bacteria
Description: partial 16S ribosomal RNA
Rfam family: Bacterial small subunit ribosomal RNA
Source: RNAcentral